This is a long non-coding RNA of Poecilia latipinna (sailfin molly), 434 nucleotides long. RefSeq lists it as uncharacterized. Lineage: Eukaryota; Metazoa; Chordata; Actinopteri; Cyprinodontiformes; Poeciliidae. The record is from RefSeq and is a predicted model, not a curated record. The transcript has 4 exons.
UCUGUCCACCUUGCUGUGCUUCAGCUCCAACUCCUUGGGAUCAGCCAGUAAACAGUUUUUUGUCAGUUUCCUUGAGAGCUCAGGAGAAAACCAAGGGUUAAUCCUAGCGCUUGUCUUAAUCACCAGAGUUACUGGUUUUGUAUUCCUUGUAUUUGCCGUGCUGUAUUUGAUCUGGUUUCAUAAGACUCACCACAAAGCUAGAGGGUCUGGAGGUGAUCUCAACACAGACAUAUAACUAAUGAAAGAAAAAUGAGGUACCAAACCCAAUCAAAGAUGUCCAUUAUGUAAACUCUGCUGCACUUACUCAAGCAGAAAACCACCAAGCAAAUGCAAGCACCAACUUGUCUUAUGAAAAUGUAGAAGAAACCAGAGAGUGUUCAGGAAAGAUAAAAUAACACCUGGUUCAUGUCAGUGUGAAUUAGUCAAGAAAUAAC